Long non-coding RNA from Rhineura floridana, 1828 nucleotides. RefSeq lists it as uncharacterized. Lineage: Eukaryota; Metazoa; Chordata; Lepidosauria; Squamata; Rhineuridae. The transcript has 4 exons. The record is from RefSeq and is a predicted model, not a curated record.
UAAGCCCUUGGCGUGGUGCAGUCUAUAUAUCCAGUAAAGUAAAAUAACAGAGGCUUCAACAGUUCACACUAGACAGCAAGCCUUCUGGGAUUCUGGUCUUCUUUAUCACGUGGCUGGCUUAAGAUCUUUCACUGCGUGUAAGAAAUAGUUGUAAGAAUUGGCCCUAAAGAAGACUGUGGGCAAUGAUUGACAAUUUCCAGCUUACAUUGAUUUGAAAUGAGUGCAAAAUCUGACCCUCUCGCAUGGAGAGAGCAGCCUACAUGAGACAUAUUUAAAGACGUCUAAAGAACACCUCUGAGAAACACAGGCUCUCUUCAGGAAGCCUGUCACUGAAUUGGAAUCAUCCUGUGGUUUGGAAGGAAUGUGUUCCGGGAAAGCAUUACAGCAGUUUACAACUCAAAGACUCCUGCAGACCCACAGAUAUGUGGGUGGGACCUCCAACCAAUAACCUGCCUGAUCAGAUGACUACUGUUGGAGACAGUGAGAGCUUGGCAAGCACAACAUCUGACACAUAAGGACUCUGAAUAGCCAACAGGCAAAGGAGAGAAAGGAAGAACUCUCGAUCCUGUGCAUUCACUAGAAAAUGGUCUGGUCUUGUCAGUUUCACUUCCCUGUCAGUUGGCGGCAAGGUCUAAAAGGAACCUAAUGAAGCUACAGUUUAAUGGCAUAUUCCACUGGGGUCUACAAGGAAGAAACAGAGUGAAUCCCUACAGCUUUCUUUUUUAAUCAUAACAAAUCUUAAAACAGACUAAAACAUAAUGGUCUCAUCAGAAGCUUUUCAUUCCAUCUACAAAAGAAAGAGAGGAUGGGAAUCAAAUUCAAGGAUUUGGAGGAAGUGUAAUCUUCCGUGUAUAACAUCUGUCUGUCUCUCAGUCAAGAGCAGCACUUGAACUAUUUCAUUUUUUAAAAUACUUUUGUGAACCCAGCUAAUGAAAAAUAGCUUGCUUACAAGGUUAAGGUUCCCAUUUUAUUUUCCCAUUGUUUCUAUUUUUAUUUUUGGUUGCAUCAGCAAGAAAAGUGAGAAUUUUCUGAAGUGCCAGAUAACUUUGGUAGAAAGCACUAUUUUAAACUCAUGCAAGAUUUCAUGAUGAACUGAAGACCUUUAUGGACAGCGAACUGCAUAGAAAUUAAUACAGACCACCAUGCAUUCUCUUCUACGAUUACCAGGAGCCAGACUUCAGACUACCAGAAGGACAAGUCUUAAUGAAACCACAGUAAUCAUUUAUCAGUUGCAACACUGGCUUACCCAAAGCAAUGUGCCAUUAAUUAGCUACUCUUUUGGCUAUUAUUUUUCCAAGAUAAAAAGCAUGCUGUCUGUACAGAUUUCAGUACUGUUGAUACAAAUGGUAACAUUAACUUUGAGCCAAAUGCUCUUAGAAAGUUUCUCCAGCUCUCUGGAUUCCAGUUCUUUACCUUCUUUCAACAACUGUCUCUAUUACAAGCCAUUAUUCCUCCUUCUGGACAUCCCCUCCCAAAAAAGCCCUGGCAUAUAGACAAUGGGUAAUUCAAAAAUAUCUAUAUUGUCCCUGCACCCUGAAAUGGUAUUGUCAUUGUAAUUUUAUUACACUCAUAAAAUUUUUGCAACUUCCCUGCAGCUCACUGUAAUUUCACCAACAGUUGUAAAAACUCUUAAAAGAUAUUUCUACAGAAUUGAGAUGAAUGGGUUUCAGUAUGAAGCAUUUCUCAUUGUAUAAGAAGGAAACUUUUUCCUUUUCCUUUUGCCAAGUACAAAGAAUAAGCAAUCCAUUCAACUAUUUGUCAACUCCCAUUAGAAACAUUUAAUAGUAAUAAAAUUUACAGACUUUGUUUCCAAAAGAUGCUGCCAGAA